UCCGGUUUGGCACCGGCAGUCCCCCUAGAGUUCCCGGCAUGACCCGCUGGCAACUAAGGGCGAGGGUUGCGCUCGUUGCGGGACUUAACCCAACAUCUCACGACACGAGCUGACGACAGCCAUGCAGCACCUGUGCACGGGCUCCGAAGAGGGCCCCCGGUUUCCCGGGGGUUUCCCGUACAUGUCAAGCCCAGGUAAGGUUCUUCGCGUUGCGUCGAAUUAAACCACAUGCUCCACCGCUUGUGCGGGCCCCCGUCAAUUCCUUUGAGUUUCAGCCUUGCGGCCGUACUCCCCAGGCGGGGUACUUAAUGCGUUAGCGCCGGCACCCAGGGGGUCGCUCCCCCAAGCACCUAGUACCCAUCGUUUACGGCGUGGACUAC
RNAcentral lists this unclassified non-coding RNA (380 nucleotides) under uncultured Gemmatimonadaceae bacterium. RNAcentral's name for it is "contains 16S-23S intergenic spacer region". Lineage: Bacteria; Pseudomonadati; Gemmatimonadota; Gemmatimonadia; Gemmatimonadales; Gemmatimonadaceae. The record is from RNAcentral.